This 2591-nucleotide long non-coding RNA is filed under the name Canis lupus familiaris (dog). RNAcentral's name for it is "lncRNA (ENSCAFG00040005883.1)". Lineage: Eukaryota; Metazoa; Chordata; Mammalia; Carnivora; Canidae. The record is from RNAcentral.
CCAACACGUUUCAAUCCCUGCAAUAUGUAACCUGGGGUAGAAGUCUCUCCAGAACCAGCUUCCUCAUGAUCCUCUGCUAUUUCCUGUCUGAGUCAGAAUGGAAAUAUCCCAAACAGACUCUAUUUCAGGGGGUUGAGCCCUUUGCUUCCACAACUAGGGAAUCAAGAGAUAAAAGAAGCUGAAAUGAGCAAAAGGCAGCCAAACUAUGAUUUUGGUUUUUCAGAACCUUUUCUUCAACUGAAGCUGAAAGAUUGAUAGAUUAUGUUCAUCCACCAGUAUAUUGAGAUGCUUUCUUUGCCGACUAACUUAAUGGGUCACUGACUGUAAUUGCACUACUAGGCGCUUGAGUCAAGGUUUGGAAGAAUUGGGUAGAGGCCCAUUUGGAGCUUCUUAAAGAUUUUUUUUUUUAAUUUUUAUUUAUUUAUGAUAGUCACAGAGAGAGAGAGGCAGAGACAUAGGCAGAGGGAGAAGCAGGCUCCAUGCACCGGGAGCCUGAUGUGGGAUUCGAUCCGGGGUCUCCAGGAUCGUGCCCUGGGCCAAAGGCAGGCGCCAAACCGCUGCGCCACCCAGGGAUCCCCCCAUCUGGAGCUUCUUUAGCAGAACAAAGGUGACGGUAUCGUGAUGAUGUGAGCUCUCAACCUGUGAAGAGGUGAAGGACAGCCCAGGGUGCGUCCAGCAGUGAAGAUCUAGACGCUGGGACCGCAUUUAGAUGGCUCUAUGUUCUGCAGCUUGCUUUCUGCUCCGGUUUGCACGGACCAGCAUCCCUGAGCAACGCAGCUGGGUCUCACAAGCUUCCUGGAAAUCCAGCGCACUCCAAGCAAGUAUCGAAUAUAUCAAAAGAAGAUCAUUAAAUCGGGCUCUUGCCUUGCAGAACACUGAGAGCGAAGUAGCUCCUAUAUUAGUAAAAAAAUUAGACAUGCUUUUGGAAAUGUUAAAUUAUCUGUAGGUGUGCAAACCAGAGUCUGAGUUCAAGGCCAGCGAGUACCUUAAUGUUUCCUCAGUCGCUGCUAGAACAUGGGUUCAAUUAAAGUCGCCUGACAGUGAAAAAUCAACAUAUUCCAAACACGCAGGCAGAGCUUUCCUCCUUAGGGCCAAAGAAUUGCUCUGCUUCUUGGCUCCGGCCAUUACUUUGUUUUCACUUUUUUCCCUCCUAAGUUCACACUUAAGGCACAUUUUAAUGCUUGUGUGAGCACCACCUAUUUCCUGUUAUUGUGUUUCUUUUUAUAGGCUGCCCUUCUUGCAACUCAGUACCUUUUCACCGUCUCCCAGUCCUUUUAGUUGAGAUGAAUUUGCCAGAGGCAGGGAAAGACUGAAGGGACUCUGUUCAUAGCUGAAAGACAGCCACACCAUAAUCUAUUAAAAUAAAGAAUGAAUGUCCAGUGCGCUCACCACUUGUGUUGUGGUUUUAUAGCUGUUGUUUGAACUGUAAGCCAGGAUGGAACUCUUUUUAAUUUCAAAGGCUUUCUUUUCCCCCGCCAAGUCUCUUUUUCUUUUUUUUUAAAUCUAACUUUGGACCUUAAUGUGUCGACAGAUCUCUCUUACAUUAUUUUUGGCCAAAGCCAGAAACAAAUUGUGUUGAAAAAUAUUAUGAGAACACCUCUCCUUCUAAGAUUUCUAGCCCAGUGUAGUCAACUCCAGAGGUUUGGAUGAUUCAGAUAAGCCUUAGAAAAACAUCCACUGUUUUAGAUUAUCUGCUUAACCAAAUCCCAAUGCUGAACUGCUGGAGCGUCUCUUAUCUAGGCUGUACUAACUGUAUAUUAUGGGAGUGAGCUGAAAAAGUAGCCAAAUGAGCUACUACUUAUAUAUAAAGGAACUCUAAACCCCCUGGUUUUGCUUUUAAUAGCACGGCUAAGGAAAAGUCACAUUCAUGUACAUUCCUAAGGUCAAUAUGUAUUUCGCAAGGUGCCGGUGUCUGACAUGAUGAAAAUAUCCAUGAUGAAAUAUGGGACUGAAUUAACCUGAUUAUUCCAUAAGAAGAAGCCAAAAAAAAUCAUUACGUUAUCAAAAUUUUGCCACUUAGAGAUUAUUUAGAAAAAGCAUAUUUAAGUCAGGAAAAUUGAAUCUUCAGUUUGAAGGAACAAGCGAAUUUUAAAAUUUCUGCGUGUAUGAACAAUGGUGGCGUUAAUUCAAUAAAUACUUCCUGAGAAUCUGCUCUCUGUUGGGUGCUGCCACAGACAUGGAUGAUAGCAGAGCAAACUGACAAUAUGCCUGCCCGCAGAGAAUUCUAAUGGGAGACAGUCAAAUGAACACACAUGGCCAAUGUCAAUGUGGGAACACAUUGUCUGGGGGAACAUAUUCGUACAUCCACUGCUGGGUGUGACACCUUUACACAGUGGUGGCAAGAUGUGCCCUAAAUCCUGAGGGCAAAGUAUGAAUUUCUUCCAUGGUGUCCGUGUCAAAGAUGUGGAGGCAAUGAAUUUUAGGAACUACAUUAUAUGACACAUGAGAAGUUAGAAAACUGGAUGCUAUCAUUUUAUGUAUCUUAACAUUACCUUGUACCUACAUCAUACCAUACGCUAUACUAAAUACUAUAAACUCACAUGGCCUUAGUUUGCCAUGUGCAAAAUUGGAACAAUGUGAGGCUUUUCUGG